RNAcentral lists this ribosomal RNA (468 nucleotides) under uncultured bacterium. RNAcentral's name for it is "partial 16S ribosomal RNA". It matches the Rfam family "Bacterial small subunit ribosomal RNA", at positions 28 to 507 of the family's 1533-position model. The record is from RNAcentral.
GACGAACGCUGGCGGCGUGCUUAACACAUGCAAGUCGAACGGAAAGGCCCUGCGUUUGUGGGGUGCUCGAUUGGCGAACGGGUGAGUAACACGUGAGUAACCUGCCCUUGACUUUCGGAUAACUUCAGGAAACUGGGGCUAAUACCGGAUAGGAGCUCCUGCUGCAUGGUGGGGGUUGGAAAGUUUCGGCGGUUGGGGAUGGACUCGCGGCUUAUCAGCUUGUUGGUGGGGUAGUGGCUGACCAAGGCUUUGACGGGUAGCCGGCCUGAGAGGGUGACCGGCCACAAUGGGACUGAGAUACGGACCAGACUGCUACGGGAGGCAGCAGUGGGAAAUAUUGCACAGUGGGCGGAAGCCUGAUGCAGCAACGCCGCGUGCGGGAUGACCGCCUUCGGGUUGUAAACCGCUUUCGCCUGUGACGAAGCGUGAGUGACGGUAAUGGAUAAAGAAGCACCGGCUAACUACGUG